GACGAACCGUGCGAACGUUGUUCGGAAUCACUGGGCUUAAAGGGUGCGUAGGCGGGUUUGCAAGUCUGCGGUGAAAGCCUCCAGCUUAACUGGAGAAGUGCCGUGGGUACUGCGGAUCUCGAGGAGGGUAGGGGCAUCUGGAACGGUCGGUGGAGCGGUGAAAUGCGUUGAUAUCGACCGGAACUCCGGUGGCGAAGGCGAGGUGCUGGACCCUUUCUGACGCUGAGGCGCGAAAGCCAGGGGAGCAAACGGG
This 253-nucleotide ribosomal RNA is filed under the name uncultured bacterium. RNAcentral describes it as "partial 16S ribosomal RNA". It matches the Rfam family "Bacterial small subunit ribosomal RNA", at positions 524 to 776 of the family's 1533-position model. The record is from RNAcentral.